Camellia sinensis is the source of this 811-nucleotide non-coding RNA. NCBI's taxonomy places the organism in Eukaryota, Viridiplantae, Streptophyta, Magnoliopsida, Ericales, Theaceae. The record is from RefSeq and is a predicted model, not a curated record.
AACCGAUGAACGGCCUCAAUCAAGGAUAGUGACCGAUCAAUGUCAGACAUAAAAACCACCGCAUCAAAUAAUCCUAGUUCUUUUUGUACAUUAUCACUGCCAAAUCCAUAUUUAAGAGCUUUAAAUAAAAAGAAAUCAGAACCGUUGGCAGGUGGAAGCGGGAAGUUACUCGUCUCCCCUCUUUCCCGCGCUCCAUUAGGGCUUCGUAUAUACACUUUCUCUGUAUAUCUGUAUCUAUAUCUAUGUCCAUGAAUUUGUGCAUACAUCUCUCUCCAACAAGGAGACCUUCGGAGCUCGUCAAUCUAACGUGGCAAUGUCAAGAAGGAGAGCUACUCAGCCAAAUUAUCUCUUUAUCCUGUAAACCCUGAACGGCCAUUUCUGCCUUCAAAUACACUAAGUAAUCAUGCUUUGUAUUUCAUGAAUAAUUUUCCUUUUUGGUGUUGAGCUGAAUGUGCUGCAAGAUUUGGAUCUUCUUAAUUGUUGUCCACGGGGCCUCUCUUGUAUUAGCGGAAUGCCAUAUGUGUAAAAGGGUUGCACCCUUCUUCUUGAUUCGUUAAUGAUGUCUGUUGAUACAAAUGUUAUUUUACUAGGAAGUCAUCUUGCAACCACUUGGAGACAAAGGAAUUGCAAUAAUUGGUGGUGACACAAUUAGGGGCUUUACGACUUCUGACCAGAUGCCAUCUUCUUAGCUUUAAAUUUUUAGCACUCUGAUUGUCUAGAAUCCUUGGAAGCCCGGGUGUUGUUAUGGUUGCUAGUACAGUUAUGCUGAUACAGCAAAACUUUUAUAAUAAUUAAAAAAAAUAGUAGAAUA